ACCUCAGCSGGGACAGAUUUUAAUUGAAUGCUAAAAGAAUGGAAAUUUAAAAAAAAACUUUUUUAAAAAUAAAAAUUGAAUUUUUUUUAAUUUGGGCAAAAACAAUUAUAUUUAUUAAAGACAAGAAGACCCUAAGAAUUUAAAAUUUUACAAUUAAAAAGUUUUUUUUUAAAAUCUUGAUUGGGGGGAUCAAAAAAUAUUAAUAAUUUUUUAAAAUUUAAAUUGAUCUAUUAUUAAUAAACUAAUGAAUUAAAUACUCUAGGGAUAACAGCGUAAUAAUUUUUGAUAAAUUUUAUUGACAAAAUAGUUUGCGACCUCAAUGUUGGAUUAGGAUUCUUUUUUAAUGAAAAAGUUAAAAAAAAAAGUUUGUUCAACUUUUAAAUUCCUACUUGAUCUGAGUUCAAACCGG
RNAcentral lists this ribosomal RNA (409 nucleotides) under Ixodida sp. RNAcentral's name for it is "partial large subunit ribosomal RNA". Lineage: Eukaryota; Metazoa; Arthropoda; Arachnida; Ixodida. The record is from RNAcentral.